This 387-nucleotide ribosomal RNA is filed under the name uncultured bacterium. Its description in RNAcentral is "bacterial SSU rRNA". It matches the Rfam family "Bacterial small subunit ribosomal RNA", at positions 29 to 416 of the family's 1533-position model. The record is from RNAcentral.
AUUGAACGCUGGCGGCAUGCUUUACACAUGCAAGUCGAACGGCAGCACGGGGGGUAACUCCUGGUGGCGAGUGGCGAACGGGUGAGUAAUGCAUCGGAACGCGUCCUGUAAUGGGGGAUAACCUACCGAAAGGUAGGCUAAUACCGCAUACGCCCUGAGGGGGAAAGCGGGGGAUCGAAAGACCUCGUGUUAUAGGAGUGGUCGAUGUCGGAUUAGCUAGUUGGUGGGGUAAAGCCUACCAAGGCGACGAUCCGUAGCGGGUCUGAGAGGACGGCCCGCCACACUGGGACUGAGACACGGCCCAGACUCCUACGGGAGGCAGCAGUGGGGAAUUUUGGACAAUGGGGGCAACCCUGAUCCAGCCAUGCCGCGUGAGUGAAGAAGGCC